Molecule: ribosomal RNA, 851 nt
Filed under: Brotia dautzenbergiana
Lineage: Eukaryota; Metazoa; Mollusca; Gastropoda; Pachychilidae
Description: partial 16S ribosomal RNA
Rfam family: Bacterial large subunit ribosomal RNA
Source: RNAcentral
AAGUGAAAUAGGUUUGAUAAAAUUGAAAAAUUUAGUAAGUUGUUUCAUGUUUUAGUUUAUUAAGGAUAAGCUUAAUAAAGGAUAGGGAGAAUAUAUUAGGCUGAGUGAAUUAUGUGAGCUUGAGAUUGGCUAUCAUAGUGGAAUUUGUUACAAAGUAAUCUAGAAAAUUAGAAAAAUUUUUAUAUUUACCUUCCUUGAAUUAUAAAGGCAAUAGGAAAAAUUGUUGAACCUAAUUUGUGUAUGCUAAGAUGAGUAUUUUAGAAUUUUUUAAGAGGUAGAAAUAUUUAAAAAUACCUAUAAUAAUAAUUAUUUUUAAAAAAAUAAAAUAAAAGAAAGGAACUCGGCAAAUAUUAGCUCCGCCUGUUUAUCAAAAACAUGGCUCUUUGUUGAUUUUAUAUAGAGAGUCGAACCUGCCCAGUGAGAAUUUUUAACGGCCGCGGUACCCUGACCGUGCAAAGGUAGCAUAAUCAUUUGCCUUAUAAUUGAAGGCUUGUAUGAAUGGUUUAACGAGAGCAUUGCUGUCUCUUUUUUAGUAGAUAGAAUUUGACUUUUAGGUGAAGAGGCCUAAAUGUAAUUGAAAGACAAGAAGACCCUAUCGAGCUUAAAAGUUGAGUUAGAAUUAGUUAUAAAUUUAAAUUUACUGCUGACUUAUUUUUUGAUUGGGGCGAUCAAGGAACAAUAAAAGCUUCCUUUGUUCAUUUUGACUUAUAAGUAUUGAUCCAGUUAAGACUGAUUAAAAAAAUUAGUUACCGUAGGGAUAACAGCAUAAUCUCUCUUGAGAGACCUAAUCGAAAGAGGGGGUUGUGACCUCGAUGUUGGACUAGAAUAUCCUAAAGGCGCAGUAAGUCUUU